This 84-nucleotide transfer RNA is filed under the name Dermacentor andersoni. RNAcentral describes it as "transfer RNA leucine (anticodon CAG)". It matches the Rfam family "tRNA". From Rfam's summary of the family: Transfer RNA (tRNA) molecules are approximately 80 nucleotides in length. Their secondary structure includes four short double-helical elements and three loops (D, anti-codon, and T loops). Further hydrogen bonds mediate the characteristic L-shaped molecular structure. tRNAs have two regions of fundamental functional importance: the anti-codon, which is responsible for specific mRNA codon recognition, and the 3' end, to which the tRNAs corresponding amino acid is attached (by aminoacyl-tRNA synthetases). tRNAs cope with the degeneracy of the genetic code in two manners: having more than one tRNA (with a specific anti-codon) for a particular amino acid; and 'wobble' base-pairing, i.e. permitting non-standard base-pairing at the 3rd anti-codon position. Lineage: Eukaryota; Metazoa; Arthropoda; Arachnida; Ixodida; Ixodidae. The record is from RNAcentral.
GUCAGGAUGGCCGAGCGGUCCAAGGCGCUGCGUUCAGGUCGCAGUCCGGUCUUCCGGGCGUGGGUUCGAAUCCCACUUCUGUCA